AGCAUCCGUAGCUCGUUUUGUAAGUUUUCGGUUAAAUCCAUGCGCUUAACGUAUGGGCUGCCGGGAAUACUGCAUAACUAGGAGGUGGGAGAGGUAGACGGUACUCGGUAGGAAGGGGUAAAAUCCUUUGAUCUAUUGAUGACCACCUGUGGCGAAGGCGGUCUACCAGAACACGUUCGACGGUGAGGGAUGAAAGCUGGGGGAGCAAACCGGAUUAGAUACCCGGGUAGUCCCAGCUGUAAACUAUGCAAACUCAGUGAUGCAUUGGCUUGUGGCCAAUGCAGUGCUGCAGGGAAGCCGUUAAGUUUGCCGCCUGGGAAGUACGUACGCAAGUAUGAAACUUAAAGGAAUUGGCGGGGGAGCACAAGCCG
This 371-nucleotide ribosomal RNA is filed under the name uncultured Nitrososphaerota archaeon. RNAcentral's name for it is "bacterial SSU rRNA". It matches the Rfam family "Archaeal small subunit ribosomal RNA", at positions 514 to 888 of the family's 1478-position model. The record is from RNAcentral. Lineage: Archaea; Thermoproteati; Nitrososphaerota.